UCGAGAAUCUUUCACAAUGGGGGCAACCCUGAUGGAGCGACGCCGCGUGGAGGAUAAGGUCUUCGGAUUGUAAACUCCUGUCAUGCGUGAACAAGGCUGCAGGGUUAAUAACCUUGCAGAUUGAUGGUAGCGCAAGAGGAAGAGACGGCUAACUCUGUGCCAGCAGCCGCGGUAAUACAGAGGUCUCAAGCGUUGUUCGGAAUCACUGGGCGUAAAGGGUGCGUAGGUGGCGUGGUAAGUCAGAUGUGAAAGCCCGGGGCUCAACCUCGGAAUUGCAUCCGAUACUGCCAUGCUAGAGUACUGAAGAGGUGACUAGAAUUCUCGGUGUAGCAGUGAAAUGCGUAGAUAUCGAGAGGAAUACCAACGGCGAAGGCAGGUCACUGGGCAGUUACUGACACUGAGGCACGAAGGCCAGGGGAGCAAACG
RNAcentral lists this ribosomal RNA (426 nucleotides) under uncultured bacterium. RNAcentral's name for it is "bacterial SSU rRNA". It matches the Rfam family "Bacterial small subunit ribosomal RNA", at positions 355 to 774 of the family's 1533-position model. The record is from RNAcentral.